Molecule: ribosomal RNA, 459 nt
Filed under: uncultured bacterium
Lineage: Bacteria
Description: partial 16S ribosomal RNA
Rfam family: Bacterial small subunit ribosomal RNA
Source: RNAcentral
CCUACGGGAGGCAGCAGUGAGGAAUAUUGGUCAAUGGGCGAAAGUCUGAACCAGCCAAGUCGCGUGAGGGAGUACUGCCCUAUGGGUUGUAAACCUCUUUUGUCUGGGAGUAAAAGCCGGACGUGUCCGGCUGUGAGAGUACUCGAAGAAAAAGCAUCGGCUAACUCCGUGCCAGCAGCCGCGGGAAUAAGGAGGAAGCGAGCGUUAUCCGGCAUUAUUGGGUUUAAAGGGGGCGCAGGGCGGAUUUUUAGUUAGGCGGGAAAUUCUGGGGGUCAACAUCGUUACGGCCGUUGAAACUGGGGAUCUAGAGUGUACGAGAGGUAGGCGGAAUGCAUGGUGUAGCGGUGAAAUGCUUAGAUAUCACGCAGAACCCCGAUUGCGAAGGCAGCAUACCGGUGCACAACUGACGCUGAGGCACGAAAGCGUGGGUAUCGAACAGGAUUAGAUACCCUAGUAGUC